Macadamia integrifolia is the source of this 473-nucleotide long non-coding RNA. RefSeq lists it as uncharacterized. The record is from RefSeq and is a predicted model, not a curated record. The transcript has 3 exons. NCBI's taxonomy places the organism in Eukaryota, Viridiplantae, Streptophyta, Magnoliopsida, Proteales, Proteaceae.
UAAAUUUUCGCCUACAUUAAGGGUUUUCAGCAGGAGAGAGAACGUUAAAUUUUCCCAAUCCCGCGGUGUUCUCUAAUAUACUUUGAAAACCUAAUCGCAGCCUUCUUUGAUAUCCUUUGAAAAUCUAGCCGUUGUUUCUUCUUCAAAGGUAUUGGGGCUCCUUCAGUUUCUCCCCUGUUCUCUCUCUAUCAAGACUCCUUCGAUCGACUCCCACACUUCUCUCUCACCUUCACUCGAUUGAGAUGCAAAAUCAGCAUGUGUAGAAAAUGGAUGACAAUCUUACUGAAAACAUCGCAAAUAUGAGUGCGGUUGCAUUUGACAAUCAUAGAAAGAAACGAGGUCAAUCUAGGGGAUUGAUUACAAUGUCAUUGCCAUGUGGUCAAAAGGUGAAAGUUAGGACCAAUCCUUACCACCAAGGGAUUAAUAAAGAUGCAACAUGGUUGCUUACGUGGUUGAGCACACAUGUAAAGACA